This 254-nucleotide ribosomal RNA is filed under the name uncultured bacterium. RNAcentral's name for it is "partial 16S ribosomal RNA". It matches the Rfam family "Bacterial small subunit ribosomal RNA", at positions 524 to 776 of the family's 1533-position model. The record is from RNAcentral.
UACGUAGGGGGCAAGCGUUGUCCGGAUUUAUUGGGCGUAAAGAGCGUGUAGGCGGCCAGAUAGGUCGGUUGUGAAAACUGGAUGGCUCAACCUCCAGACGUCGACCGAAACCAUCUGGCUAGAGUCCGGAAGAGGAGAGUGGAAUUCCUGGUGUAGCGGUGAAAUGCGCAGAUAUCAGGAAGAACACCCGUGGCGAAGGCGGCUCUCUGGGACGGUACUGACGCUGAGACGCGAAAGCGUGGGGAGCGAACAGG